This 1451-nucleotide long non-coding RNA is filed under the name Brassica napus (rape). RNAcentral describes it as "long non-coding RNA (BNAP_LNC014946)". Lineage: Eukaryota; Viridiplantae; Streptophyta; Magnoliopsida; Brassicales; Brassicaceae. The record is from RNAcentral.
UCCUUGGCCACUUCCCUUGUAGAGAUAGACGAUCUGAGUUUUGGGUCGAUUGUUUGCCUGAUCCAUCCUACAAAUAAGUGAUUAUUUGCUGUCCAGUCUUCGAGAUAUGUGGAGUCUGCUGCUGGCUUCGGUAUACUGCCAUCCAGAAAACCAAAUUUCUUCCGUGAGCUAAGCGCCAUACGGAAGUUAAUGGCCCAUUCAUCAUAGUUCGAACCGUUGAGUAGCGGCUGCGAAAUAACUGCACCAGGAUUAUCAUUGGCGCUGAGAUCAUAUGGGGUGAUUGUCUUGUAUUUUUGAUCGAUGUUGUUCGUUGCAAGUGCCAUCGUGUUGAGUAUCAAGAUGUUCUGUUCUGGUUACUUAGAAACAGAGUUCAAUCUAAACAAAGAGAGAGGGAUUCCCUUGCGAUUGCAAGAUGAAUCAGUAUUAAAAUAAAAAAAAAUCAAAAACACUCUUUAGGAUUUUCAAGCUCUGAUACCAUGACAAAUUAGGUUUCAAGGUUCUUGUCUUAUUCCACCGGCUCACGCUAAUAUAUAUAUCGUACAAUGUUAUCAACAAAAGGAAACAAUAUACACAAGAAGAUAUAUGGAAAGAUAUGGAGAAUAUACAUAGUUAUCUAUUACGAAUCAAGUAUCAAAUCAAUGAUGAUGCAUCCGCUACUUCAAAAAUUCAGCUAAGCUGAUUCGAUGACGACUCAGCUUGCCAAAUUUGUCCAACAUGGUGGGGGAGAACAACAUAUCCACUCCACCUUCUUACAUUUUAUGUGUAAGUUCAUUGAUUCAAUAUCUUAAAAAGGAUCAUGAUAUGUAUUCACGCAUGAUAUAUGAUAUAUCACAAUUAUAGAAAGUUUUAACUUGCACAUAAGGUAUUAGGAACGUAUUUAGAUUUGAAAGUCAUCAACAACCAUCAUUUUCAUGACAAAUCGUAUAUUUGGAACAGGUUAAGGUACAAAAUAAAACAAAAAGUCUUAACAUAUUACACUGAAGAUGGGGAAUAUAUUUCGUCAGGGACGGUUCACCGCAUAACAUGUUAUGCCUACGAUAUACACACUUAGUUAGGCUGUCGGGAAUUAAACUUUGUGGAAUUCGUCAGGUAUAUUCCCUAAUUAUUACUAUUAUUGUUCUACGUAGAGAUAGAGGUUCCAGGUGGGAAGAAUCACAUAAACUGCCAAAAAAUUAUCAACCACGACGUUGGCCAAAAGUUGUUUUGUUAUCAUUCUUCCACAUAUGAUCCGAUUCGGACGCAUUAUGCUUUUUCUAUUUAUUAUAUGUGCUAUGUGGACAUGUAUUCACAUUUCUAAUUAUAUUUCCAGCUUGAUUGAAGUUAUUUUUAAUUUCGUGGGUUCAAUAAUUCGUUGUAAUCUACACGGAUCCACUUGUGUUUUCCAAUAGAAUCUCACUAUCCCCAUUUGUUGGCUAAAUAUAAUAUUCGCUGGGCACCCUUUUUGAUGACUC